This 73-nucleotide transfer RNA is filed under the name Ovis aries (sheep). It matches the Rfam family "tRNA". From Rfam's summary of the family: Transfer RNA (tRNA) molecules are approximately 80 nucleotides in length. Their secondary structure includes four short double-helical elements and three loops (D, anti-codon, and T loops). Further hydrogen bonds mediate the characteristic L-shaped molecular structure. tRNAs have two regions of fundamental functional importance: the anti-codon, which is responsible for specific mRNA codon recognition, and the 3' end, to which the tRNAs corresponding amino acid is attached (by aminoacyl-tRNA synthetases). tRNAs cope with the degeneracy of the genetic code in two manners: having more than one tRNA (with a specific anti-codon) for a particular amino acid; and 'wobble' base-pairing, i.e. permitting non-standard base-pairing at the 3rd anti-codon position. The record is from Rfam by way of RNAcentral. Lineage: Eukaryota; Metazoa; Chordata; Mammalia; Artiodactyla; Bovidae.
UCCCCAGCAGUCCAGUGGUUAGAACUCCACACUUUCACUGUCAAAGGCCAGGGAUCAAUCCCUGGUUGGGGAA